UGCAUGCACCACUGGUAUCUGAGAUACUUUCUCAGGAGGCUGGAGGGAAGACAGAUAUGGCCCAGAUGCUUAGGAAGAGGGGACAGACAAGAGUAAGCUAAGCUUCAACAAGUUAUGUGGGGCAUGUAUUUUAAGAACAAAAUCAACUGUAAGGUGAAGCUGAAUAAUCUUGCAACCACAUUUUGGCUGUCAACACAAGUUUGGUUCUCAAAUGUUUUUGUGCAAAGAAUUUCUUUUGAAAACAGCUUUAGGUUGGCCUCUAACUACAGAGCUUUAUAGGCAAAUGAAAAAAAAAAAAGUAAAGCAUAUGGAAGCUGUAUAAUUCUGUUCUGGCACGUAAUGCUGUCCCUGGAUUGUAGUAACUUCCUUCUUUAUUAUUCAAGGAGCAGUGUGGUUCAAGAAUUGAACAAAAAAACACCUCUGCUAAUAUAUGGGCAAGGACAAGGAAAGCACUGCAAUUGCAGUAACUUUUUUUUCACACCAUAAAAAUGAAGGAGAAAGACAACUUCUCUGGGAAGGCAAUUCCACUUGCUCACUCACAUAAUCACAAAGAAACGACACAGAUCAGCCCUGGCUCCAGGGGGAUCUUCCUGAAGUUCCAAGUUUUGUAGCAUAAACUAAGUAUAGUGAUCUGGUUUUAUAUGUAGUAGAAUAGAUGCUGGGUGUGCAGUUGUUGGGAGGCAACAGAAAUUCUGUGAAAAGCAACAUGUGACAGGAGUAGCCUGGGAGGACAGAUGACAACUUUAUGUGCAGCAGCUUUUCUCUGGCUCCUUGUUUCCACAUGCCAGGCACAGCUGCCAUCCAGAGCUGCAUGUGCCAGGUGCCAAGGAGUGUGUUCCCCUCUCCCAUGAGAGCUUUGCCCCCUUGCAUACUCUGGUGUUCUCUGACCUGUUGCAGGUGUGUUCCUGUCAUGUGGUUUUGCUGAAGGGAAUGGUUUCAUAGCAGUUGGACAAUCCCAUUGCUUUUGAGUGAUACCAUCCCUGCUGCAUCAGGUGUUAUAGAGUUUGCUGGGGAAAAAAGUCACACUAAACCCCCAAAUACAAAAAGACAAUUCAAACAAAUGACUACGUUCAAUUUUUUCAUACUAUAGGAGGAAUAUUUGUUGGCACUCACUUUUUUGGUAGAAAGAUUGGGAUUUUUAGCAUUAUUAGUGGUGCUAAUUGAAGCUAUGUUUGGGUUAUCUAGCUCCCUAAAUUCAAUACAUUAUUC
Molecule: long non-coding RNA, 1209 nt
Organism: Passer domesticus (house sparrow)
Lineage: Eukaryota; Metazoa; Chordata; Aves; Passeriformes; Passeridae
Exons: 3
Source: RefSeq, a predicted model, not a curated record